Meleagris gallopavo (turkey) is the source of this 339-nucleotide non-coding RNA. The record is from RefSeq and is a predicted model, not a curated record. Lineage: Eukaryota; Metazoa; Chordata; Aves; Galliformes; Phasianidae.
AUGCAAAUCAGACCCUAUAAAAGUACCUUGCGGUCAGUGUGUCUUGUCUUUCUUCAGAAAUCUCUAAGCUUCCAGUCUGCGAGCCAUUCAUCUGGUCUCACAAAAGAUACUUGCUGCAUUACUCCCAAUAUACAGCAACCAUGUCAUCAGAUGCUGAUAUGGCCAUAUUUGGGGAGGCAGCUCCAUAUCUCCGAAAGUCAGAAAAGGAGAGGAUCGAGGCUCAAAACAAGCCUUUUGAUGCCAAGUCAUCUGUCUUUGUGGUACACGCUAAAGAAUCCUAUGUGAAAAGCACAAUCCAGAGCAAAGAAUCUGGGAAGGUCACUGUCAAGACUGAAGGUG